AAAGAGAUAAAUAAUGUAGAAAAGAAAUAAUAGAACUCAAUACAAGACUUCGUAAUAAAGUCAGUACAUAAACAUAGAAAAACAAUAAUAUCUAAAACUAAAAAAAUACAACUUUAAACCCUUAAAUUUGAUGUCAUGUGUAUAGAGCUCUAAUACUGGUAGAUAUGAUGAAGUUUGGAAUUAAGCCCUGAACGAGGAGUUCAUUAGACCUACGAAUCAGCCUCGAUCACUGCAUCAUUAGACCUACGAAUCAGCCUCGAUCACUGCACAAUCUCACGCUCUGAUGGUCACAUUUAAGCUAGUAUUUUCACCAAAACAGUAUAGAAUGUAGGAGUAAGUAUGGUCCAUAUGUACUUAGCAACAUGAAACUAAAAAAAUAAGGAAUAAUACCAGCACGCUUCCACUUGCAUACAGAAAAGUUCUCAAUGGUGUCUCAAACUAUAUAUCCCAACAAUUAUUCUAAUCUAAUAUCAAUAUAGUAAAAACUAUACACAAUAUAUAAAUAAUGGCUAAAUAGAUGUUAUCAAAUACAUAAAAGUAAUGCAAUGCAAUAUGAUCAUAAGCCAUCACAUGAUUUCUCUUAUACAUAUUUCGAGAAUAAGCUUCUAGGACAGGACCAAUGGGGAGUUCAAAACCUAUAUACUUUCACAAUGUCAAUCUCACAUGCCCACAAACCUUGCAGGAAAAAUCCUCCAUCGAGGGUUUUAUAUAUUGUUUCUUUUUUUUUCAAAAUUUGAAUUUCCCUAUUGUAACAAUUCCAUGUAUAUGAACAAAUGGAAUAAAGAUGCAUGCUCAUAGCCAAAACAAUAUCACAUAAUGAAUCAUUUUAGUUAUGGUAACAAUUAAGAUCAAAUCUCUUCAUAUCUCUAUAAAUCAUGUGAUAAGUAAUCACAUGACACCUAAAUAAUGAUUAAUCACGUAAGACAUCAAUAAUAUCAGUUCAAGCCUUCGCUCGAGAAUCACAAUAAUGAAAGAUGGAAAAUAUGCUCAACAAAACUAAUAUAAACAUCCAAUCGGGUAUUACCAUAAUAAUCAUCUCUUAAGCCCAAUAAUAAUGAUCACAUAAGCCACAACUCAAGCAUCAUAAUACUAAAACUUUCUCAAAAUAUGAUUUUAAUUGUAAAAUCCCCAAAGCAUAUAAUGCUUUACAUGAAUGAUUAUCUACCAAGCCCAGUUUGAAGAAAUUUAAGCCAUAACAUAUUUAAGAAAGUCAAAUCUAUAACCUGUACACUUCAAAAUUGAGCCUUUCCUUUACAUAAAGCUUUAAAAUGAACCAAAUCUAUUGAAAAAAAAAAAAACAAAAUCUACACAGUAAAAAGGAUCUAAAAAUACCCAUAUUAGCUACUUUCAUAAUGAGUUUGAAAAUGGUUCAAAAGUAAACCACAAAGGAAAAAGGCAAAAAUUGGAAUUUCAUUUAAGAAUCAUGUUUUCUACACUUCAAGGAUCCUAAACAUUAAAACCCAUUGAAAAACAAGUUGAAAUAAAGCAUAAGAUCAAAGGGAAACCAUUUAUCCAAAUAUCGGCAAAAGAUUCAGAAUUCCAUGUUUAGAAUCUAGGUUAUGAAGUUGUUCCCAAGAUAAAAUCAAUGAAUAGUAAUUGAAAUCAUGUUUAGAAGAUUACCAAAAUACAUUUAAUAAAAUCCUUCCUUAAAAUUGUCUUUGUCGAGGUCUUAAUGUCCAAAAAUGGUGAAAAUAAAAAAAAUGGGAAUUUAUACUAUUUAGGUAAAUAGUAACUCCAAAUUGCAGUACAUAUCGCAUGGUCGUGUGGGUCAAUAUUGACUAAUGUAAGGUAACUCAUCACAAUUAUGAGAGGUGGAAUUCACAAUUGUGAUGCUAAACCUAACCCAGUCCACUAGUAUUACCCUUUGUGAAUACAAGCCCCACCAUGUAAUAGGCUACUAGUGGAUUUUAUUACAUAAUUCAUAUCAAUUGUGAUGGUAAGCAUCAUUGAUAUAAAGUCUUGACACCC
Molecule: long non-coding RNA, 1968 nt
Filed under: Capsicum annuum
Lineage: Eukaryota; Viridiplantae; Streptophyta; Magnoliopsida; Solanales; Solanaceae
Description: long non-coding RNA (CANN_LNC017205)
Source: RNAcentral